UACGAAGGGUGCAAGCGUUAAUCGGAAUUACUGGGCGUAAAGCGUGCGUAGGUGGUUUCUUAAGUCUGCUGUGAAAGCCCUGGGCUCAACCUGGGAAUGGCGGUGGAUACUGAGGAGCUAGAGUGCGGUAGAGGAGGGUGGAAUUCCCGGUGUAGCGGUGAAAUGCGUGGAGAUCGGGAGGAACAUCAGUGGCGAAGGCGGCCCUCUGGACCAGCACUGACGCUGAGGCACGAAAGCGUGGGGAGCAAACAGG
Molecule: ribosomal RNA, 253 nt
Filed under: uncultured bacterium
Lineage: Bacteria
Description: partial 16S ribosomal RNA
Rfam family: Bacterial small subunit ribosomal RNA
Source: RNAcentral